ACGGGGAUAGCCUAGCAAGGUAGGGCACCGGGCUUUGGACCCGGCAGGGCAGGUUCGAUCCCUGCUCCCCGUG
This 73-nucleotide transfer RNA is filed under the name Fervidicola ferrireducens. It matches the Rfam family "tRNA". From Rfam's summary of the family: Transfer RNA (tRNA) molecules are approximately 80 nucleotides in length. Their secondary structure includes four short double-helical elements and three loops (D, anti-codon, and T loops). Lineage: Bacteria; Bacillati; Bacillota; Clostridia; Thermosediminibacterales; Thermosediminibacteraceae. The record is from Rfam by way of RNAcentral.